This 253-nucleotide ribosomal RNA is filed under the name uncultured bacterium. Its description in RNAcentral is "partial 16S ribosomal RNA". It matches the Rfam family "Bacterial small subunit ribosomal RNA", at positions 524 to 776 of the family's 1533-position model. The record is from RNAcentral.
UACGGAGGGUGCAAGCGUUAUUCGGAAUUAUUGGGCGUAAAGGGCGCGUAGGCGGCCACUUAUGUCAGAUGUGAAAUCCCGGGGCUUAACCCCGGAAGUGCAUUUGAAACUGAGUGGCUUGAGUAUGGGAGAGGGAAGUGGAAUUCCUGGUGUAGAGGUGAAAUUCGUAGAUAUCAGGAGGAACACCAGUGGCGAAGGCGACUUCCUGGACCAAUACUGACGCUGAGGCGCGAAGGCGUGGGGAGCAAACAGG